Long non-coding RNA from Synchiropus splendidus (mandarinfish), 472 nucleotides. RefSeq lists it as uncharacterized. The transcript is spliced from 3 exons. Lineage: Eukaryota; Metazoa; Chordata; Actinopteri; Syngnathiformes; Callionymidae. The record is from RefSeq and is a predicted model, not a curated record.
GUAUGUGGCAUAUGGGUGUAGGGUACCCUGGUGUGGGUGGUUGUGGCUGCUGCUCCUGCAGUUGUCACUGUCCAUGCACAAAGAGUUGUAGCAAAGAGGAAAGUUCCAAGAAACGUCGAUGUCAAUGUAAGAAGAGAACUGACUGUCAAAUCAAAGGCCAUAAAAAGAAGCGUGUCCACAAAGGGCGGGGUCAAGACAAGUGCAGUGGAAGCGCAAACUGCAAGAAAAGUAGUGGAUGCAAGAGCUGCUGCUUGAAGAAAAUCUGCAAAAUCAAGUGUAGGUCUGGAAAAAAUAAGAGACCAUGAAGUUCCUGCGUAUCCAGAAGGACUAAACGAUGGAAGCAAUGUUCUGAAGAUCCAUCAAGCAGCAAACAAUUCUCAAUCAAAAGUCAUCCAAAAUAUUUAAUUUCUUUAAAACGACAAUUCAGCGAAAUAAUUGAAUUAUAUUUGCAUCAAUAAAGGCCAUGACCAAG